UGCGUAGGCGGGAUAUUAAGUCAGUGGUGAAAUCUCUCGGCUCAACCGGGAAACUGCCAUUGAUACUGUUAAUCUUGAGUUCGGUUGAGGUAGGCGGAAUGUGUAAUGUAGCGGUGAAAUGCUUAGAUAUUACACAGAACACCAAUUGCGUAGGCAGCUUACUAGACCGACACUGACGCUGAGGCACGAAAGCGUGGGGAGCGAACAGGAUUAGAUACCCUGGUAGUCC
Molecule: ribosomal RNA, 229 nt
Filed under: uncultured bacterium
Lineage: Bacteria
Description: partial 16S ribosomal RNA
Rfam family: Bacterial small subunit ribosomal RNA
Source: RNAcentral